Non-coding RNA from Cladorrhinum sp. PSN259, 115 nucleotides. Lineage: Eukaryota; Fungi; Ascomycota; Sordariomycetes; Sordariales; Podosporaceae. The record is from the annotation of a GenBank genome assembly.
GGGCGUGUAGCUCAGUUGGCAGAGCGUUCGCUUUGCAUUUUCUCACUGCUUAACCGCAGAAGGGAAAAAGAGAGAAAUGCGAAAGGUCUAGGGUUCAAUUCUCCAUACUCGUCCA